This 166-nucleotide ribosomal RNA is filed under the name Polylepis quadrijuga. RNAcentral describes it as "5.8S ribosomal RNA". It matches the Rfam family "5.8S ribosomal RNA". Rfam says of the family: 5.8S ribosomal RNA (5.8S rRNA) is a component of the large subunit of the eukaryotic ribosome. It is transcribed by RNA polymerase I as part of the 45S precursor that also contains 18S and 28S rRNA. Functionally, it is thought that 5.8S rRNA may be involved in ribosome translocation. Lineage: Eukaryota; Viridiplantae; Streptophyta; Magnoliopsida; Rosales; Rosaceae. The record is from RNAcentral.
UAAACAACUCUCGGCAACGAAUAUCUCGACUCUCGCAUCGAAGAAGAACAUAGCGAAAUGCGAUACUACUUGUGUGAAUUGCAGAAUCUUGUGAACCAUUGAGUCUUUGAACGCAAGUUAAGCCAAAAACCAUUAGGCCGAGGGCACGUCUGCAUGUGGGUUACAC